This 1521-nucleotide ribosomal RNA is filed under the name metagenome. RNAcentral describes it as "bacterial SSU rRNA". It matches the Rfam family "Bacterial small subunit ribosomal RNA". The record is from RNAcentral.
AGAGUUUGAUCAUGGCUCAGAUUGAACGCUGGCGGCAGGCCUAACACAUGCAAGUCGAACGGUAACAGGAAACAGCUUGCUGUUUCGCUGACGAGUGGCGGACGGGUGAGUAAUGUCUGGGAAACUGCCUGAUGGAGGGGGAUAACUACUGGAAACGGUAGCUAAUACCGCAUAACGUCGCAAGACCAAAGAGGGGGACCCUCGGGCCUCUUGCCAUCGGAUGUGCCCAGAUGGGAUUAGCUUGUUGGUGGGGUAACGGCUCACCAAGGCGACGAUCCCUAGCUGGUCUGAGAGGAUGACCAGCCACACUGGAACUGAGACACGGUCCAGACUCCUACGGGAGGCAGCAGUGGGGAAUAUUGCACAAUGGGCGCAAGCCUGAUGCAGCCAUGCCGCGUGUAUGAAGAAGGCCUUCGGGUUGUAAAGUACUUUCAGCGGGGAGGAAGGGAGUAAAGUUAAUACCUUUGCUCAUUGACGUUACCCGCAGAAGAAGCACCGGCUAACUCCGUGCCAGCAGCCGCGGUAAUACGGAGGGUGCAAGCGUUAAUCGGAAUUACUGGGCGUAAAGCGCACGCAGGCGGUUUGUUAAGUCAGACGUGAAAUCCCCGGGCUCAACCUGGGAACUGCAUCUGAUACUGGCAAGCUUGAGUCUCGUAGAGGGGGGUAGAAUUCCAGGUGUAGCGGUGAAAUGCGUAGAGAUCUGGAGGAAUACCGGUGGCGAAGGCGGCCCCCUGGACGAAGACUGACGCUCAGGUGCGAAAGCGUGGGGAGCAAACAGGAUUAGAUACCCUGGUAGUCCACGCCGUAAACGAUGUCGACUUGGAGGUUGUGCCCUUGAGGCGUGGCUUCCGGAGCUAACGCGUUAAGUCGACCGCCUGGGGAGUACGGCCGCAAGGUUAAAACUCAAAUGAAUUGACGGGGGCCCGCACAAGCGUGGAGCAUGUGGUUUAAUUCGAUGCAACGCGAAGAACCUUACCUGGUCUUGACAUCCACGGAAGUUUUCAGAGAUGAGAAUGUGCCUUCGGGAACCGUGAGACAGGUGCUGCAUGGCUGUCGUCAGCUCGUGUUGUGAAAUGUUGGGUUAAGUCCCGCAACGAGCGCAACCCUUAUCCUUUGUUGCCAGCGGUCCGGCCGGGAACUCAAAGGAGACUGCCAGUGAUAAACUGGAGGAAGGUGGGGAUGACGUCAAGUCAUCAUGGCCCUUACGACCAGGGCUACACACGUGCUACAAUGGCGCAUACAAAGAGAAGCGACCUCGCGAGAGCAAGCGGACCUCAUAAAGUGCGUCGUAGUCCGGAUUGGAGUCUGCAACUCGACUCCAUGAAGUCGGAAUCGCUAGUAAUCGUGGAUCAGAAUGCCACGGUGAAUACGUUCCCGGGCCUUGUACACACCGCCCGUCACACCAUGGGAGUGGGUUGCAAAAGAAGUAGGUAGCUUAACCUUCGGGAGGGCGCUUACCACUUUGUGAUUCAUGACUGGGGUGAAGUCGAAACAAGGUAACCGUAGGGGAACCUGCGGUUG